This 325-nucleotide unclassified non-coding RNA is filed under the name Desoria sp. SA-2013. Its description in RNAcentral is "sequence contains ITS2". The record is from RNAcentral. Lineage: Eukaryota; Metazoa; Arthropoda; Collembola; Entomobryomorpha; Isotomidae.
UAAAGAUACUCAAACUUAUGGCAGAUGGAAAUUGUUGAUGCCUGUUUGUUGUAAAUGUUUCAUCGCCGGGUUUUAUAGCCUGGUUAGAAUCUUGGCAUGUUUUUGGGUAUACGGAAGAUUUGUAUUAACGAGUCUAGCUUAUUUGAAAGUAAAAAGAUUUACGGAAAAAUUUGCGAAAACGUAUCGUGCCAGUUUUUCUUGAUUUUGUUGGGGGCUACUCUAAGCUUUGUGAUUUCGCACUCACCAAUUUGUGAGGCUUAAAGACGUUUCACAUUAAAAAGCAUUGUAGUUUUUCCUUGAAUCGAGAAAUUACAAUUCAGACUUG